CCUACGGGAGGCAGCAGUAGGGAAUAUUGCUCAAUGGGGGAAACCCUUAAGCAGCAACGCCUCGUGGAGGAUGAAGUUUUUCGGAUUGUCACCUCCUUUUCUUAGAGAAGAUAAUGACGGUAUCUAACGAAUAAGCACCGGCUAACUCCUUGCCAGCAGCCGCGGUAAUACGGAGGGUGCAAGCGUUACUCGGAAUCACUGGGCGUAAAGAGCGCGUAGGCGGGAUAGCAAGUCAGAUGUGAAAUCGUAUGGCUUAACCAUAGAACUGCAUUUGAAACUGUUAUUCUAGAGUAUGGGAGAGGUAGGUGGAAUUCUUGGUGUAGGGGUAAAAUCCGUAGAGAUCAAGAGGAAUACUCAUUGCGAAGGCGACCUGCGAGAACAUAACUGACGCUGAUGCGCGAAAGCGUGGGGAGCAAACAGGAUUAGAUACCCGGGUAGUC
This 440-nucleotide ribosomal RNA is filed under the name uncultured bacterium. Its description in RNAcentral is "partial 16S ribosomal RNA". It matches the Rfam family "Bacterial small subunit ribosomal RNA", at positions 338 to 795 of the family's 1533-position model. The record is from RNAcentral.